UAUCUCUGUAGAGUCUGCAUAUCAAUAAGCGGAGGAAAAGAAACUAACUAGGAUUCCCUCAGUAACGGCGAGUGAAGCGGGAAGAGCUCAAAUUUGAAAUCUUCAAGGUUCUACCUUGACGAAUUGUAGUUUAAAGAAGUGUUUUCUGUUGGAGUUUUGGUAAAAGUUCUUUGGAAUAGGACAUCAUAGAGGGUGAGAAUCCCGUAUUUGAUCCAUUAUUUUCAGCUGUGUGAUACACUUUCAAAGAGUCGGAUUGUUUGGGAAUGCAGUCCAAAAUGGGUGGUAAAUUUCAUCUAAAGCUAAAUAUUGGCGAGAGACCGAUAGCGAACAAGUACCGUGAGGGAAAGAUGAAAAGAACUUUGAAAAGAGAGUUAAACAGUACGUGAAAUUGUCAAAAGGGAAGCGUUUGACACCAGUGUUGUUUUCUCGAAAAUCAAUUAAAAAAAGUUGGAUUUUGUAUUGUUAAGACCUUAUCAGCUUACUGUACUCUUUUCUUGCUUUUUUCAAUGCACUUUUCGUUUAACAAGUCAACAUCAAUUUCUUUUGUUGUAAAAGAGUCAUUGGAAGGUGGCUUUCACUUCGGUGAAAGUGUUUAUAGCCUUUGGCUUCUGCAAUCGGAGAGAUUGAGGUCUGCAGCGUAGAUCCUUCGGGGUUAGAUACAGUUAGAUGCUAAGUUAUAGCCUUUUCAUAGACAACUUGUUGACUAUAAUCAUCAUGUAGCUUACUCGCUUAUGGUUAUUUUACCUACGCUUAGGAUGUUGACGAUCAGCUGAGCGCG
This 778-nucleotide ribosomal RNA is filed under the name uncultured Neocallimastigales. RNAcentral's name for it is "partial large subunit ribosomal RNA". It matches the Rfam family "Eukaryotic large subunit ribosomal RNA", at positions 24 to 634 of the family's 3401-position model. Lineage: Eukaryota; Fungi; Neocallimastigomycota; Neocallimastigomycetes; Neocallimastigales. The record is from RNAcentral.